CCAGCCCGCUCAGAAACUCAAAGGCAUUGACGGGGGCCCGCACAAGCGGUGGAGCAUGUGGUUUAAUUCGAUGAUACGCGAGGAACCUUACCUGGGCUCAAAUGUAUGUUGACGUAUUCUGAAAGGGAUACUUCUUCGGACAAUAUACAAGGUGCUGCAUGGUUGUCGUCAGCUCGUGCCGUGAGGUGUCGGGUUAAGUCCCAUAACGAGCGCAACCCCUAUCAUUAGUUGCCAUCAGGUCAAGCUGGGGACUCUAAUGAAACUGCCUACGCAAGUAGUGAGGAAGGUGGGGAUGACGUCAAAUCAGCACGGCCCUUACGUCCAGGGCUACACACGUGCUACAAUGGCCGGCACAACGGGAAGCGAGUUCGCGAGGACGAGCGGAUCCCUCAAAGCCGGUCGCAGUUCGGAUUGAAGUCUGCAACUCGACUUCAUGAAGCUGGAAUCGCUAGUAAUCGCGGAUCAGCCAAGCCGCGGUGAAUACGUUCCCGGGCCUU
This 497-nucleotide ribosomal RNA is filed under the name uncultured Bacteroidota bacterium. RNAcentral describes it as "bacterial SSU rRNA". It matches the Rfam family "Bacterial small subunit ribosomal RNA", at positions 884 to 1382 of the family's 1533-position model. The record is from RNAcentral. Lineage: Bacteria; Pseudomonadati; Bacteroidota.